ACGCUCGACACCUGAGGCAGCAGUCGGGAAUAUUGCGCAAUGGAGGAAACUCUGACGCAGUGACGCCGCGUGCAGGAAGAAGGUUUUCGGAUUGUAAACUGCUUUAGACAGGGAAGAAAGAAAUGACAGUACCUGUAGAAUAAGCUCCGGCUAACUACGUGCCAGCAGCCGCGGUAAUCUGAGCGGGCUGGCAAGGC
This 197-nucleotide ribosomal RNA is filed under the name uncultured bacterium. Its description in RNAcentral is "partial 16S ribosomal RNA". It matches the Rfam family "Bacterial small subunit ribosomal RNA", at positions 333 to 539 of the family's 1533-position model. The record is from RNAcentral.